CCUACGGGUGGCAGCAGUGAGGAAUAUUGGUCAAUGGGCGUAAGCCUGAACCAGCCAAGUCGCGUGAGGGAUGAAGGUUCUAUGGAUCGUAAACCUCUUUUAUAAGGGAAUAAAGUGUGGGACGUGUCCUAUUUUGUAUGUACCUUAUGAAUAAGGAUCGGCUAACUCCGUGCCAGCAGCCGCGGUAAUACGGAGGUUCCGAGCGUUAUCCGGAUUUAUUGGGUUUAAAGGGUGCGUAGGCGGCCUGUUAAGUCAGCGGGGAAAGUCUGCGGCUCAACCCUAGAAUUGCAGUUGAAACUGGCAGUCUUGAGUAUGGUAGAGGUGAGCGGAAUUCGUGGUGUAGCGGUGAAAUGCUUAGAUAUCAGGAAGAACACCGAUGGCGAAGGCAGAUGAC
This 394-nucleotide ribosomal RNA is filed under the name uncultured bacterium. RNAcentral describes it as "partial 16S ribosomal RNA". It matches the Rfam family "Bacterial small subunit ribosomal RNA", at positions 338 to 729 of the family's 1533-position model. The record is from RNAcentral.